AGCUCCAAUAGCGUAUAUUAAAGUUGUUGCAGUUAAAAAGCUCGUAGUUGAACUUUGGGUUUCGACGGGCGGUCCACCUAUGGUGCGUACUGCUCUGUUGGGAUCUUUCCUUCUGGCUAGCCUUUUGGCGAACCAGGACGUUUACUUUGAGAAAAUUAGAGUGUUCAAAGCAGGCCUUUGCUCGAAUAUAUUAGCAUGGAAUAAUAGAAUAGGACGUAUGGUUCUAUUUUGUUGGUUUCUAGGACCAUCGUAAUGAUUAAUAGGGACGGUCGGGGGCAUCAGUAUUCAGUCGUCAGAGGUGAAAUUCUUGGAUUGACUGAAGACUAACUACUGCGAAAGCAUUUGCCAAGGACGUUUUCA
RNAcentral lists this ribosomal RNA (360 nucleotides) under uncultured eukaryote. RNAcentral's name for it is "SSU rRNA". It matches the Rfam family "Eukaryotic small subunit ribosomal RNA", at positions 587 to 972 of the family's 1831-position model. The record is from RNAcentral.